CCGGGCAGGACUUGCAAGUCGGGACAUGAUUUAAUCUUGAACAAGAACUCAAAAAGGGAAAACAAGGAGAAGGAACAAGGUGCCGAUCGCACUUGAAGCUAAAUACUUAGCAUGGAUUGGAAGACAAGAGACGUGACGAGAGCAUGAAGCAAACACUUGGCAUAAACUGAGGCCUGGAACACUCAGGGAACUGUGGCAUGAAACCAGCAAGACUUACUUGGCAAGGUAACAAAACUUACGUGGAUGUCACCGCCAGGGAGCAUUGGAAUGCGCCCUCAUCCUUGCGCUCUGCUUCUCACCUCGAGACACGCCCACGGCCGCGCAUAUCCAGGGACGCGCCGUGCAAGUCUCUGCCCUGCAGCAGCCACCAGCUGCAAGCAUUCACCGGCAAUCAGCACACCUGCCUGAAUGAAGGAGCUGCCUUCAUAAGCCUGCUCAACAUGCCAUCAGGCGCUGCAAUAUAGUCUUCCGUACAACCUCCGUUCCCGUGUUUGACGUUGCUGUGUGUCUCCUCAUUUCUGGCCGCCGUUCCCCUGCUUCCCGGACUGCCUCUUGGAUCUCGACCUCCCUCUUGGACUCGGACUUCUCUCUCCCUUGGACAUCCUCGUGUCUCGUUCAACACUUGGUAACACACACUUCAGCUAACCACACACAUAGUCUUACACUACACACUCUUGGAUUUUGUCACACUCCAUUUCCUCAGUUUAUUAGUUAGCAUUGAGAUGGUUUCCUGUGGACGGGACUCUCGCUGCUGUCUUGGAGCCACUAUGGAUUGAACUUUCACAGUAUCAUGUUAGACCCGCUCGACAUCCAUUGCUUUCGGUCCCCUAGAGGGGGGGGGUUGCCCACAUCUGAGGUCCUCUCCAAGGUUUCUCAUAGUCAGCAUUGUCACUGGCGUCCCACUGGAUGUGAAUUCUCCCUGCCCACUGGGUGUGAGUUUUCCUUGCCCUUUUGUGGGUUCUUCCGAGGAUGUUGUAGUCGUAAUGAUUUGUGCAGUCCUUUGAGACAUUUGUGAUUUGGGGCUAUAUAAAUAAACAUUGAUUGAUUGAUAUUGUUUAUUAUUAUUAUAUAUAUUGACUAUAUAUAUAAAAUAAAGCAUUGAACAUAACA
Molecule: long non-coding RNA, 1110 nt
Organism: Nerophis ophidion (straightnose pipefish)
Lineage: Eukaryota; Metazoa; Chordata; Actinopteri; Syngnathiformes; Syngnathidae
Exons: 2
Source: RefSeq, a predicted model, not a curated record